GAUGAACGCUGGCGGCGUGCCUAAUACAUGCAAGUCGAGCGAACAGACGAGGAGCUUGCUCCUCUGACGUUAGCGGCGGACGGGUGAGUAACACGUGGAUAACCUACCUAUAAGACUGGGAUAACUUCGGGAAACCGGAGCUAAUACCGGAUAAUAUAUUGAACCGCAUGGUUCAAUAGUGAAAGACGGUUUUGCUGUCACUUAUAGAUGGAUCCGCGCCGCAUUAGCUAGUUGGUAAGGUAACGGCUUACCAAGGCGACGAUGCGUAGCCGACCUGAGAGGGUGAUCGGCCACACUGGAACUGAGACACGGUCCAGACUCCUACGGGAGGCAGCAGUAGGGAAUCUUCCGCAAUGGGCGAAAGCCUGACGGAGCAACGCCGCGUGAGUGAUGAAGGUCUUCGGAUCGUAAAACUCUGUUAUUAGGGAAGAACAAAUGUGUAAGUAACCAUGCACGUCUUGACGGUACCUAAUCAGAAAGCCACGGCUAACUACGU
Molecule: ribosomal RNA, 496 nt
Filed under: uncultured bacterium
Lineage: Bacteria
Description: partial 16S ribosomal RNA
Rfam family: Bacterial small subunit ribosomal RNA
Source: RNAcentral